UGCUGAUUGGCUCAGUAACUAUAACAUCAGUCUGUUUGCUCUCCUGCUACUUAGGGGAUUUUCACCUAUCACUGGGGAUCUCAGCAAUGUAACUCCCGUGAGAGGAAAACUCUCUAACAAUGGAACAUCAAGGAGCAUCAGAGACUAGCAAAGCAUCCUGGGAACUCCAGUGAGCAAAGACAAGAGCUCUCAGCAGGCAAGAAGGGCUCCCGAUUCUGGAAGAAGAUUUUGCUCUUCCAUUUGGAAUGGCAGUACCUGCACAUCCCUGGGACCCAGCUUCCUGGCCACUGCUGCAGCCUCCUGUCCGACAUCCUGGAGAAAUGCUGCUCACAGGCUGAGGUUUUCACCAGAAGUACAAGAUGGAAGCAAGACCUAAAGAACAUGAUUCUCUAAACACAUCAUUAGGACAAUGAAACCCAACAAAAUUAAAUGGUUCAUUC
This 440-nucleotide long non-coding RNA is filed under the name Monodelphis domestica (gray short-tailed opossum). RNAcentral's name for it is "lncRNA (ENSMODG00000036267.2)". Lineage: Eukaryota; Metazoa; Chordata; Mammalia; Didelphimorphia; Didelphidae. The record is from RNAcentral.